UGAGUUGUGGCUCAGUGGUAGAGCACUUUCCUUGCACACAUGAGGCCCUGAGUUCGAUCCUCAGCACCACAU
This 72-nucleotide transfer RNA is filed under the name Marmota marmota marmota (Alpine marmot). It matches the Rfam family "tRNA". Rfam says of the family: Transfer RNA (tRNA) molecules are approximately 80 nucleotides in length. RNAcentral also lists the same sequence under 2 other names. Lineage: Eukaryota; Metazoa; Chordata; Mammalia; Rodentia; Sciuridae. The record is from Rfam by way of RNAcentral.